RNAcentral lists this ribosomal RNA (253 nucleotides) under uncultured bacterium. RNAcentral's name for it is "partial 16S ribosomal RNA". It matches the Rfam family "Bacterial small subunit ribosomal RNA", at positions 524 to 776 of the family's 1533-position model. The record is from RNAcentral.
UACAGAGGUGGCAAGCGUUGUUCGGAAUUACUGGGCGUAAAGGGCGCGUAGGCGGUUCGUUAAGUCCUGUGUGAAAUCCCCCGGCUCAACUGGGGAACUGCACAGGAAACUAGCGGGCUUGAGUUCGGGAGAGGGAAGCGGAAUUCCGGGUGUAGCGGUGAAAUGCGUAGAUAUCCGGAGGAACACCGGUGGCGAAGGCGGCUUCCUGGGCCGACACUGACGCUGAGGCGCGAAAGCUAGGGGAGCAAACGGG